RNAcentral lists this ribosomal RNA (492 nucleotides) under uncultured bacterium. RNAcentral's name for it is "partial 16S ribosomal RNA". It matches the Rfam family "Bacterial small subunit ribosomal RNA", at positions 29 to 507 of the family's 1533-position model. The record is from RNAcentral.
AAUGAACGCUGGCGGUAGGCCUAACACAUGCAAGUCGAACGGCAGCACAGUAAGAGCUUGCUCUUACGGGUGGCGAGUGGCGGACGGGUGAGGAAUACAUCGGAAUCUACUUUUUCGUGGGGGAUAACGUAGGGAAACUUACGCUAAUACCGCAUACGACCUACGGGUGAAAGCAGGGGAUCUUCGGACCUUGCGCGAUUGAAUGAGCCGAUGUCGGAUUAGCUAGUUGGCGGGGUAAAGGCCCACCAAGGCGACGAUCCGUAGCUGGUCUGAGAGGAUGAUCAGCCACACUGGAACUGAGACACGGUCCAGACUCCUACGGGAGGCAGCAGUGGGGAAUAUUGGACAAUGGGCGCAAGCCUGAUCCAGCCAUACCGCGUGGGUGAAGAAGGCCUUCGGGUUGUAAAGCCCUUUUGUUGGGAAAGAAAAGCAGCAGGCUAAUACCCCGCUGUUCUGACGGUACCCAAAGAAUAAGCACCGGCUAACUUCGUG